AUCUGUCUUGGCCUGAAACAUGACACAUCACUUGGUUAAUAGGAUUUAUUUCCCUAGAAGAGGAAGAUCACGGCACAAAAUGAAUCUAUAUUUGAUCGUUGUCUCAAAUCAUUUUCAUCUCAUGAGAUUAAUUCAGAUUACUCCUGAGACUUGAAGUUCUUGGUCGAGUAUACUAGUUUGGAUGAGAUAAUGGAAUUGGAAUGAGAUUAUCAUCAAUGAUGUUUUCACUUAUAUGGUAGUUACCGACAUAAAUGAAAAGCAACGAUAUCGAACCACGUUCUGUUGAUUAGUGACAAUGUAAAACUUGUUGGACAACCGAAAUCACAAUCCAGGUUAAUUUCCUUACCAUACUGUGUUUGGAACUAUCAUUCCUGCAUUGCCCAAGGUAACCCUAUUAUGUUACAAGUGGGAAAGGAAGCGUAAUGAGAUGAAUGAAAUAGUGUGAUAUGAUGCACACCUUAUGGCGUAAGGUUUCUCUCAAACACCUUGUGAUUGACUGUAGCAUUAUGAAAUGUGGUUAGUGUUUCUCCAUGGGGAUAUUGAUACGGAGAUUUACAUGUAAGUUCCCGAAGAACUACAUGGACUAGUUCAAAUAGUUCCAAACCAUGGAACACCCUUUCCACUCGUUUGAGGUGUUCACUGACAGAUUGAAGCAAUUUAGAGAAUGUUGUAUACCCAUCUAGGUGAUUAUUUGAUCAGUCAAGGAUAUGAAUGAAUGCCCUUGCGUGUUAAACUAUGAAGUCUUAUUCUGAAUUGUUAGAGUUACAGUUUAUGUCGAUGACAUGAAUCUCACUAAAACUCUAGAAGAGCUUGGGAAAACUACCUCGCAUCUAAAGACAGAAUUUUAGAUGAAGGAUAUUGGGAAAACUCGUUUAUGCCUUGACUUGAAAUUCAAGCAUUACUCUAACAAUAUUUUGGUCUACUAGUCAAACUACACCCCAAAGGUGUGACCUUUGAGUAUACCUAUGAUCGUCCAUACACUAUAUGCAAAUGAGACCCUUGAAGGUUAUGAAACCUAAAGUUCUAUAUCUGAGUUCAACUUUGCACUUUGUUUUACUUAGCUCAUUGUAUUGGACAAUACAUCUUCUUCGAUGUUGAUAUUGAAGGGAAAAUUAUGAGAUUCUAGAAUGGGAUUUCAUAAUGACUAUCAUGCAUAUACAAAUCAAAUUUAAUAUACGAAAGCAGCGGAAGCAUUUAUUACAUAUUAUCAAAGCUAU
Molecule: long non-coding RNA, 1217 nt
Filed under: Malus domestica (apple)
Lineage: Eukaryota; Viridiplantae; Streptophyta; Magnoliopsida; Rosales; Rosaceae
Description: long non-coding RNA (MDOM_LNC005897)
Source: RNAcentral